This 460-nucleotide ribosomal RNA is filed under the name uncultured bacterium. Its description in RNAcentral is "partial 16S ribosomal RNA". It matches the Rfam family "Bacterial small subunit ribosomal RNA", at positions 338 to 795 of the family's 1533-position model. The record is from RNAcentral.
CCUACGGGAGGCAGCAGUGAGGAAUAUUGGUCAAUGGACGAGAGUCUGAACCAGCCAAGUAGCGUGAAGGAUGACUGCCCUCUGGGUUGUAACCUUCUUUUAUAUGGGAAUAAAAUGUUCCACGUGUGGGAUUUUGUAUGUACCAUAUGAAUAAGGAUCGGCUAACUCCGUGCCGGCAGCCGCGGUAAUACGGAGGAUCCGAGCGUUAUCCGGAUUUAUUGGGUUUAUAGGGAGCGUAGGUGGAUUGUUAAGUCAGUUGUGAAAGUGUGCGGCUCAACCGUAAAAUUGCAGUUGAAACUGGCAAGCUUGAGUACAGUAGAGGUGGGCGGAAUGCGUGGUGUAGCGGUGAAAUGCUUAGAUAUCACGAAGAACUCCGAUUGCGAAGGCAGUUCACUGGACUGCAACUGACACUGAGGCUCGAAAGUGUGGGUAUCAAACAGGAUUAGAUACCCUUGUAGUC